GGGUAAUUUGCCGUGAAGUCUGGGAUAACUUGCUGAAAGGCGAGCUAAUACCGGAUGUGAUUGCUGGGGGGCAUCCUCCGGCACUCAAAGUCGGGGACCGCAAGGCCUGACGCUUUUCGAUAAACCCGCGGCCUAUCAGCUAGUUGGUGAGGUAACGGCUCACCAAGGCGAAGACGGGUAGCUGGUCUGAGAGGACGACCAGCCACACUGGAACUGAGACACGGUCCAG
RNAcentral lists this ribosomal RNA (229 nucleotides) under uncultured bacterium. RNAcentral's name for it is "partial 16S ribosomal RNA". It matches the Rfam family "Bacterial small subunit ribosomal RNA", at positions 119 to 334 of the family's 1533-position model. The record is from RNAcentral.